This is an RNA transcript of Hyla sarda, 1652 nucleotides long. It is a transcript of the gene named dishevelled binding antagonist of beta catenin 3, with no coding region annotated. The transcript has 5 exons. The record is from RefSeq and is a predicted model, not a curated record. Lineage: Eukaryota; Metazoa; Chordata; Amphibia; Anura; Hylidae.
GGCCGCUGAGCUCUAGUUGCUGCUGCUCAGUGAGAUCGCAGCCGGCUCGGGGGUGACAUGCUGGGCUCGGGCGGCUCUGUGGACCGGGGGCGGCUCCGUCAGUUGUUGCGGGGAAGUGUGGCCGGGCUGUGCGAGCUGAAAUUACUGCGGGAGCGGCAGGAGGUGCGAGUGCGGCGGGCGCUGCGGGGCGGAGAGGACCUGGACCGGCAGCUGUGGGAGCUGGAGAGACAACUUGGAGAAUUGAGGCUGAGAGCGGAGAACGACCAGGAGAGCGCAGCAGAGUAUGAAGCCGAUGGUCCCGAAUCAUGUGACGUGUUCCUGGACCGAGCCCCCCGGGUGGGCCAGGCGGAGGCUCGGAUGCAUUAUGCCAGUGAGCGCCCAAAGAGCGCAGGUGACCUGGUUGUGGGAUCCCAUCACCCUCGUUCCUCUUCUUCUCGUCUUCUGGUGCCCCGCUCCAUGUCUGCCCCUUACCCUUCCCCUUCAUCCCCACCUCCCCCUCCCCCUCCGCCACCUCCUGCUCGCCGGGCUGAAGGCUAUAUCCUUUCUCUCCUCCGUCGCCAGCUCCGAGCUCCGUACCUGCGUUCCGUCUCUGCCGACCGUCCUCCCGCUCCAGCCCCGGCCCCAGUGUGUAGAAUGGCCAGCACCUCCUACACCCCAACUCACCGUGGCCCCCGCAGAAAGCACCCGCCUCUCUUAAAGGGCCACAGCGUGGAAGGGUCUCCACCAAAACCUCCAAGGAAAUGCCUUUCGGCAGAGGAGCCGCCGAGAAAAAGAGGCGGACGGAGGACACCGAGGUCACUCUCGGAAACGAGCCUAAGGGACCCUGCCCCGCCUCCAGAGGAGACCAUGGACCCCCGGGUCCCUCCAGAAGUGUGGCAGGGCUCCAGGGGCCACCUAGAUGGCUGGGUCAAUCCCCGAAAUUAUAAAGAGAGCUGGGCUAAUAACAGGGCUCGCACCGAGGGCUGGGCCGACCCACAGGGCUUCGUGCAGGAGUGGGGGGACCCUCGAGACCAUAUUCAAGAUGGCAACCGCUGCUACACCCUGGGGAGAGAAGGAAGGGCCCCGACCGCAAGAAUUGGCCCCCCCUGCAGGAAGUGGAGGUCCACGGCUGAGAUUAGUGCAGGGGUCCCAGAGGGGGAAGCCAGGGUGGGCUCAGAAGGCGAGGAGGAAGAAGAGGAGGAAGAAGGGGGCUUGGUAUGGCCAAUGCAGCUCCCUCCCCGGGAUGCUGAAGGGCGCCCCCAAAUGUUCAAGGUAAAAGCGUCUCAGGCCCUAAAGAAAAAAAUUAUGAGGUUCCACACAGGGUCACUCAAGGUCAUGACAACUGUGUGACCAGCAACCCCCCAAAUCCACACUGGGGGUCCCACAUGUACAGUCAUGGUAUAAACCAGUGGUCCGCAGGUUGAAGACCACUGGUAUAAACCCUUCUGCACUUCCUGUCUCUUAUCCCAUUGAAGAACACUACACCCUGAAGUGGCUGAUAUCAGGGAACAAUAGAGGAGACGGGUGUCGUGUUCCUUCAGUGCCGCCGCUGACUCCCUCAAUGCAUCAUGGCAGCUUCAAGGGGUUGUCCAGGUAAAAAACUUUAUACUGGCUCCAGAAAGUUAAACAGAUUUGUAAAUUACUUCUAUUAAAAAAAAAAUGUUAAUCCUUUC